Molecule: non-coding RNA, 327 nt
Organism: Nicotiana tabacum (common tobacco)
Lineage: Eukaryota; Viridiplantae; Streptophyta; Magnoliopsida; Solanales; Solanaceae
Source: RefSeq, a predicted model, not a curated record
CUAGCCCCUCAUCUUUUUUUUACCUCUCCAGCCGUCACACCCUCACCCGUUUCCCCAACACCUUCGUCAACCACUAGUGCAGGUAAAUUUGAGGAAUCAAUAGAGCAGCAAUGAUAAGCUAAAACAGAUAUUGAUCAAAUUAAGGUGCAGUUGGAGUAGUGGCAAGAGAGAAAGGAGAAGACUGUGCGGCAUCGGGCAAAAUACUGCUAACAUGAUCAGAUUCAUAGAGAAUUACGUAUUGCAAAUGUUUUGAAAUUUUGAAUAUACAAUUAUGUGUAACUUGAAAUCUAUUUUGGAAUCUGAAAGAUUUGAAUACUUAACUUAAAA